This 246-nucleotide unclassified non-coding RNA is filed under the name Paraglomus occultum. RNAcentral describes it as "partial contains 5.8S ribosomal RNA and internal transcribed spacer 2". The stretch from base 1 to 65 matches the Rfam family "5.8S ribosomal RNA", at positions 84 to 154 of the family's 154-position model. The record is from RNAcentral. Lineage: Eukaryota; Fungi; Glomeromycota; Glomeromycetes; Paraglomerales; Paraglomeraceae.
GUGAAUCAUCAAAUCUUUGAACGCAAAUUGCGCCUUUUGCGGAAGGCAUGUCUGUUUGAGGGCACCAUUUAACAAAUAAUUUGCAUUUCUUGUGCACACGUUGAUGAGCUUUCCAAAAUUAUGUAUUAUUAUUGUUUGUGUCGCAUAAUAAACAGCUCGAUGCUUUGUUUGAUUUCGAGUGUAGUAAAUUUUUUUCUUGCUUGGGUUGUGAAAAGCGUUAUUGCGCAAUGGGUGUGGCAUGUUCUU